GAUGAACGCUGGCGGCGUGCCUAAUACAUGCAAGUCGAGCGAACAGACGAGGAGCUUGCUCCUCUGACGUUAGCGGCGGACGGGUGAGUAACACGUGGAUAACCUACCUAUAAGACUGGGAUAACUUCGGGAAACCGGAGCUAAUACCGGAUAAUAUAUUGAACCGCAUGGUUCAAUAGUGAAAGACGGUUUUGCUGUCACUUAUAGAUGGAUCCGCGCCGCAUUAGCUAGUUGGUAAGGUAACGGCUUACCAAGGCAACGAUGCGUAGCCGACCUGAGAGGAGGAAUGGGCCAACUGGGACUGAGACACGGCCCAGACUCCUACGGGAGGCAGGCGUGGGGAAUUUUUGCGAAAGGGCGCAAACCUGAGAGAGGAAAGCCGGGUGGAGGAAGAAGGUCUUCGGGUUGUAAAAACUUUUUUAAUAGGGAAAAACGAAUGUGGAAAUAACCAGGAGGUAAUGAAGGGAACGUAAGAAAAAGCCCCGGCUAAAUACGUG
Molecule: ribosomal RNA, 497 nt
Filed under: uncultured bacterium
Lineage: Bacteria
Description: partial 16S ribosomal RNA
Rfam family: Bacterial small subunit ribosomal RNA
Source: RNAcentral